GACGAACGCUGGCGGCGUGCUUAACACAUGCAAGUCGAACGGAAAGGCCCUGCUUUUGUGGGGUGCUCGAGUGGCGAACGGGUGAGUAACACGUGAGUAACCUGCCCUUGACUUUGGGAUAACUUCAGGAAACUGGGGCUAAUACCGGAUAGGAGCUCCUGCUGCAUGGUGGGGGUUGGAACGUUUCGGCGGUUGGGGAUGGACUCGCGGCUUAUCAGCUCGUCGGUGGGGGAGUGGCUUACCAAGGCUUUGACGGGUAGCCGGCCUGAGAGGGUGACCGGCCACAUUGGGACGGAGAUACGGCCCAGACUCCUACGGGAGGCAGCAGUGGGGAAUAUUGCACAAUGGGCGGAAGCCUGAUGCAGCAACGCCGCGUGCGGGAUGACGGCCUUCGGGUUGUAAACCGCUUUCGCCUGUGACGAAGCGUGAGUGACGGUAAUGGGUAAAGAAGCACCGGCUAACUACGUG
This 468-nucleotide ribosomal RNA is filed under the name uncultured bacterium. RNAcentral's name for it is "partial 16S ribosomal RNA". It matches the Rfam family "Bacterial small subunit ribosomal RNA", at positions 28 to 507 of the family's 1533-position model. The record is from RNAcentral.